AUGGCCAGCCCUAGCCACCACGAGCUUAGCUUUGUCCACCUCCUCACAGGCGAGCGAUUUCGCCUCCCCCAUCCACCGUCACCCUUCUGUCGCCUCCUUCUCUCUGGCAAUCUCGUCCUUGCCUUUGUUCCGACGGUCGGCCGUGCCGUCCAGUACUGUCGCCUUGGGGAUAUUGAGUGGCGUGUGGCAUCAUGCACUGAACCCUAUGUGCUUGAGGAUUUGAUCUUUCACAAGGGCAACCUGCAUGCGUUGGUCAGAUCUGAAGAUGCCAGCAGCCUAUGUUACCGUCUCGCUGUGGCCAAUCUGUCAGACAAGAAUUUGGUGGAAUUCAAAUUUCUUGGAGAUCAUUUGGAAUCACAGGCUGCACAUGGGAGUUUAUAUUUCUGUCUCGCUGAGUGUCUCGAUGAGUUGUUGCUCAUUGCCGCCGUUGGGGGCUUCCCAGAGAAGUUCCAUGUUUUCCGGUGGCAGUCAAGGGAGGGGAAGUGGACAAGGACUACUAGCCUUGGUGACUGCACAUUGUUCUUGACAUAUUUUUACUUUGUAGGCUAUGUUGUUCCGAUGAAAGGAAUGACAUGCUUUUCAGGUUAUUUCUUUGCAAGUUACCUUGGUCCAGACCAUCCAGGAGUUCGAAGGGACUGCUUAUACUUCACAGAUGCCAAAAGAAAGUGGAUCGAGUAUUCCUUGGCCGAUGGAUCUUGUGAUGAAUUUGUUGCUGACAACUUAGAGGGAGCUUCAAGGCCUGAUUCCGAUUUCAGGGCACCUGUUUGGGUCUUUCCGAGCAUGUGUUGA
RNAcentral lists this ribosomal RNA (789 nucleotides) under Triticum aestivum (bread wheat). RNAcentral's name for it is "partial small subunit ribosomal RNA". Lineage: Eukaryota; Viridiplantae; Streptophyta; Magnoliopsida; Poales; Poaceae. The record is from RNAcentral.